This 694-nucleotide ribosomal RNA is filed under the name uncultured bacterium. RNAcentral's name for it is "bacterial SSU rRNA". It matches the Rfam family "Bacterial small subunit ribosomal RNA", at positions 32 to 715 of the family's 1533-position model. The record is from RNAcentral.
AACGCUAGCUACAGGCUUAACACAUGCAAGUCGAGGGGCAGCAUGGUCUUAGCUUGCUAAGGCCGAUGGCGACCGGCGCACGGGUGAGUAACACGUAUCCAACCUGCCGUCUACUCUUGGACAGCCUUCUGAAAGGAAGAUUAAUACAAGAUGGCAUCAUGAGUCCGCAUGUUCACAUGAUUAAAGGUAUUCCGGUAGACGAUGGGGAUGCGUUCCAUUAGAUAGUAGGCGGGGUAACGGCCCACCUAGUCUUCGAUGGAUAGGGGUUCUGAGAGGAAGGUCCCCCACAUUGGAACUGAGACACGGUCCAAACUCCUACGGGAGGCAGCAGUGAGGAAUAUUGGUCAAUGGGCGAGAGCCUGAACCAGCCAAGUAGCGUGCAGGAUGACUGCCCUAUGGGUUGUAAACUUCUUUUAUAUGGGAAUAAAGUAUUCCACGUGUGGGAUUUUGUAUGUACCAUAUGAAUAAGGAUCGGCUAACUCCGUGCCAGCAGCCGCGGUAAUACGGAAGGUCCGGGCGUUAUCCGGAUUUAUUGGGUUUAAAGGGAGCGUAGGCCGGAGAUUAAGCGUGUUGUGAAAUGUAGAUGCUCAACAUCUGAACUGCAGCGCGAACUGGUUUCCUUGAGUACGCAUAAAGUGGGCGGAAUUCGUGGUGUAGCGGUGAAAUGCUUAGAUAUCACGAAGAACUCCGAUUG